RNAcentral lists this ribosomal RNA (254 nucleotides) under uncultured Leptotrichia sp. RNAcentral describes it as "partial 16S ribosomal RNA". It matches the Rfam family "Bacterial small subunit ribosomal RNA", at positions 97 to 354 of the family's 1533-position model. Lineage: Bacteria; Fusobacteriati; Fusobacteriota; Fusobacteriia; Fusobacteriales; Leptotrichiaceae. The record is from RNAcentral.
GGCGGACGGGUGAGUAACGCGUAAGAACUUGCCCUUUAGACUGGGAUAACAGAGGGAAACUUCUGAUAAUACUGGAUAAGUUAGUAUAUGCAUGAUAUGCAAAUGAAAGCUACGGCACUAAAGGAGAGCUUUGCGUCCUAUUAGCUAGUUGGUAAGGUAAGAGCUUACCAAGGCGAUGAUAGGUAGCCGGCCUGAGAGGGUGGACGGCCACAAGGGGACUGAGAUACGGCCCUUACUCUACGGGAGGCAGCAGA